Long non-coding RNA from Lynx canadensis (Canada lynx), 1702 nucleotides. RefSeq lists it as uncharacterized. NCBI's taxonomy places the organism in Eukaryota, Metazoa, Chordata, Mammalia, Carnivora, Felidae. The transcript is spliced from 3 exons. The record is from RefSeq and is a predicted model, not a curated record.
UCUCUUUCUCCCUCUCAAAAGGAAAUAAACAUUAAAAAAAAAAGUGACUGACAUCGUUCUAACUUCCACAGAGUUUUGACCCUCAGAUUCUCACAGGACAGGGUCACACACUUCUAAGCUCCCUCUUGGAGUUCAGGGAAGGUCAAAGGGAAGAGUCUUAAACAGAAGACUCUAGCUCAGUGUAUCUAAUCUCCACACUCUAAAUAUUUACUCUGAGCCUCCUAGUCCUGUUUUGUCGUAUCCAACUGGAAUGACCCCCAUUUCUCUGCUCUUUCUCAUCCCUUCAAGCCCUGGCUGCAGUCUGAAAACUCAAAUUUAUUCAAAGGUACAAACUAACCAAGAGAUAUUCUGCUUUCAUUUUCCAUACUAUCCCUGAGGCAGAGUUGGAAAUAACAACGGGGCACGUGCGGCCCGGAGAGCGUGAAGUGACGCGUCUGAGACUCGCCCGCCUUCUGUGGCAGAACCGGAACUAGAAUUUCCGUCUCCUGACAUCAAGCCCACUGCCCUUUUGUAGCCGUCUGAGGGAAGGGCAGCCAGGAAAAUAAAUAUAAACGAAGAAGGUAGGAUAUGCUGGUCCACCUCGAGCUCCCCUCGACCCAUUCCAGACCUGAAGGUAAAGCAGUGGGAGAAACACUGGAUUGGACAGCUAAGGAGCUCUUGGCCUUGAUCUUGGCCUUGCCAUUCAACACUUGAUCUUCCUGACCUGGAAUAAGUAAUUUUCUCCCCUGGCUUCCUCUUGCUCAGCGGUCAAACAGGGAAAAUGUCAUUGACCUGGAUGGCAUGAUGUGUGAAACCACUCUACAAGCGAAUGAUUUAAGUAGCUUGAGUUAUCUCAAGUUCAUCGUGAUGAUUUCGGGCUGGUAGGGCAAGAAAUCAACGUCAACUCCCAUUUGGAGAGAGUCUUGGGGUUUCAAUUAUUCCCCCUCUGGUGUUUCCUGUUAAUUUACACAGAAUUUAUGUAAGUAGAAAGACUGCAUUGCCAUAGAGAUUCUUUUGUGGGGGGGGGGGGGGGUGGAAGGAGGAUCCAGUCAUGUUUCUUGGCCUUCUCAUAUUUGCCUUAUUUUUUCUAGUCUACUCGGAAAGCUAGCUCCUUAAUCUCUUCUCGCUAUUCGAACGAUGACUGGGAUACGGACCGACAUGGACAUGGAAAGGAUAACAUGGAAAGUUACCGAAGGAAAGGAUUACAGUAAAUAGGUGAUGCUGGCCAAUGGACCAUGAAUAUGCUGGAAUGUCUGUUUUUCUAGAACUUGGCAAAACUGUGCAAUUCCCGUCUCUACCUGCGCUACUCUCAUCCACCCAUGCAGGCACAGGCCACUUCUAUUCCUUCACAAGGGCGGAGGAGACUGGGCUUGGGCCGUGUGACUUGCAUGGCCAUCAGCAAACAUGGUGCGGAGACUUGAUGGGUGAUGUACAAAAGUGAGCCCUUCCUCCUUGGAACCCAGCUGCCAUGCUUUAAGAAAGCCAGUCUAACCGGCUAGCAGAUGAGCAACUCCGCACUCUCGCUGACCAACGCCAACUUCCGGAAGUGUGAAUGAAACCGUCUUGGAUGUUUCUAUUUCGGCCCUAGUAGAGCUCCCAUCUGUUUGCAGCGGCUGAACGAGCGACCCAGGUGAAUGAAUGACCUUGGUCAAUAUCGCCCGGAGGAGGGAAACCACCCAGCCGAGCGCAGAUAGUACACAGAAUCGUGGCACAUAAUAAAUGG